GAACUUUACCGAGUGGCGGACGGGUGAGUAACGCGUGGGUAACCUGCCCUGUACCGGGGGACAACAGUUGGAAACGACUGCUAAUACCGCAUAAGCGCACAGCAUCGCAUGGUGCAGUGUGAAAAAUUCCGGUGGUACAGGAUGGACCCGCGUCUGAUUAGCUAGUUGGUGAGGUAACGGCCCACCAAGGCGACGAUCAGUAGCCGACCUGAGAGGGUGAUCGGCCACAUUGGGACUGAGACACGGCCCAAACUCCUACGGGAGGCAGCAGUGGGGGAUAUUGCACAAUGGGGGAAACCCUGAUGCAGCAACGCCGCGUGAGUGAAGAAGUAUUUCGGUAUGUAAAGCUCUAUCAGCAGGGAAGAAAUUGACGGUACCCGCAGAAGAAGCCCCGGCUAACUACGUGCCAGCAGCCGCGGUAAUACGUAGGGGGCAAGCGUUAUCCGGAUUUACUGGGUGUAAAGGGAGCGCAGGCGGCAACGCAAGUCAGAAGUGAAAACCCCGGGCUUAACCUUGGGAUUGCUUUUGAAACUGU
This 535-nucleotide ribosomal RNA is filed under the name uncultured rumen bacterium. RNAcentral describes it as "bacterial SSU rRNA". It matches the Rfam family "Bacterial small subunit ribosomal RNA", at positions 83 to 636 of the family's 1533-position model. The record is from RNAcentral.